ACGAGACCUCAGGUCAGGCGG
Molecule: ribosomal RNA, 21 nt
Filed under: Aganope thyrsiflora
Lineage: Eukaryota; Viridiplantae; Streptophyta; Magnoliopsida; Fabales; Fabaceae
Description: partial large subunit ribosomal RNA
Source: RNAcentral